CCUACGGGAGGCAGCAGUGAGGAAUAUUGGUCAAUGGACGAGAGUCUGAACCAGCCAAGUAGCGUGAAGGAUGACUGCCCUAUGGGUUGUAAACUUCUUUUAUAUGGGAAUAAAGUAUUCCACGUGUGGGAUUUUGUAUGUACCAUAUGAAUAAGGAUCGGCUAACUCCGUGCCAGCAGCCGCGGUAAU
RNAcentral lists this ribosomal RNA (189 nucleotides) under uncultured bacterium. RNAcentral describes it as "partial 16S ribosomal RNA". It matches the Rfam family "Bacterial small subunit ribosomal RNA", at positions 338 to 524 of the family's 1533-position model. The record is from RNAcentral.